CCCCCCACCCUUCAGCCUCCAAACACCUGUUACUCCCCGGGGUCCGGAGUCUCCUCCGAGAGGAGUCAGAAAACUUCUAACUUGCCAUGAUCGCCACCAUUAGGCCAUAUAAGAUAUGCAAAUUAGUGGGGAGGGCCCGGCUUUCGGCCAGAUGCAAAUGGUCGUGGGGAGGGGGGAAAACCGAGAGAGGGAGAGUGUGAGGGGCAGACGGGGAGAGCAGGAGACCCGGGCCGGGAGCGGGGCUGCCAGGGUCCAUUGUACUCACGCCAGGGGGCUGAAGAGAUUCUUGUCCUGGUUCUGUUUAUCAGCCAAACUUUAGCUGACCUUUGGACUUGUUAAACAAGUAGCUUGCAGCCUAGUGUGGAAGGCUCCGGGACUUGUCCACCGGCUGCGGGUCCGGCUUUAGUCCGGAGAGAAGAAGAAACUGCGCUUCGGGGGUUCAGCUCCAGGACACAGCGGUUCCCGGGGCCAGGGGCGGCGCUCUGCAGAGGCGAGGUCAAGGUGGCCCUGGCAGGCGUCUCCCACGCCAAGUUGGGAAGGCGCGGAGUAAGCCGCUGGGGGAAAGAAGUAUUUUUCCACGCCGGCCUGGCCCAGGAAGGAAGCCGGGAACCUUUCAGCGCUAUCCGAGUUUCACCUGCCUCUCCCUGAGGCGCCCAGGGGAAGGAAGGAUGCAGGAGUCGCACCCAGACCUACAGGCUGGACCGGACCUGCAGAAGAACAGGGGCUUUUUAGGAUCCAUCGCUCACAGUCCCAUAGUUCCUGGGGCAGAGAACACCCCCUUCCCCUCUCUAAGCCUCAGGUUCAUCAUCUGUGAAAUAUCGAAACCUAAAGUGCAGGGGAUGGGGCAUUGUACACAAUGAAUGAGACCACCUGUGAAACCCUGUGGUCUAACAAUAGUGUUCACACUUUUCCUUCCGGGAAGGUAGGAAGCCAGUUCCUAGUAGUAAAAUCUAGCCCCUCUGGAGGUUUAGGAUUCUCAGAAUCAGGCAGAUCCAGUGCUGGGGUUGGAGGGACCGGGAGAUUCAGAAUGAGCAGGCAAUUUGCAAAGGAGCUUCUAAGCAAAUUCUCCUCGCUUCCCACCUUUAAAAGACAAUUAGGAGGAAGGGGGGAAUUUCAGCACGGGUGGGGUGGGGAGGGUCUGCAGUCCUGUCUGCUUGUUUCAGGAUCAAAUCUCCCAGGUGUAUGAGGGCUGAAACUCCAGAUGUGGCUGAUCCAAGUCAGGCUGCUAAGGAGCUAGGCUGCCUUUUUUAAAUACAGGGUCUGCUCCACAUGCCUGGGCCACCCAUGAGAAAGGGGUGGUUGUAUGCACAGAGCUCUGGGGGACCUUUACACCGUCUCAGUGUCUUUCCCGGAGAGAGGGGUAAUAAGUUCAUAGAAACGAGGGCUCUUCAUUUCACCUUAUUGUCUUCUAGUUUGUUGUGACAUACGGCAGAUCCUUGGCCCUCACAAUUCAGCCCAAUGGGAGAACAUUUUCUGCCUACCCAGCUCCCCUCAACGGGGAUAAUGAAGUGUUCAGAGUAAAUGUCCCUGGAGAACAAUCGCUUUUUCUCUGUCUCUCACUUACUAUCAGGAUAGAAGCAGUCAAGUGUAAUGAAGAUCAGUUUCUGUGUUUAGCUGGAAAACCCAUUAAAAAACCAGCCAUCACUUCCCUUUUAACAACAAAGCUUUGAUUUGUAGUUCCAA
Balaenoptera acutorostrata (minke whale) is the source of this 1683-nucleotide long non-coding RNA. RefSeq lists it as uncharacterized. The record is from RefSeq and is a predicted model, not a curated record. Lineage: Eukaryota; Metazoa; Chordata; Mammalia; Artiodactyla; Balaenopteridae. The transcript has 2 exons.